CUCAACUUUACAGAAUUCUACAGCCCUUAUUUUCCCCUUUAACAACUUCCAAGGGCCUGGAUCUUUUGAUUUAAAGUAGUCAAGGUACUCCUGAUGUCCCUGUCUUAGAUAUACAACUUCAUCCCCUUGCUGUGGAAUAUAAUGAGAGCCGCCCUCGUGCAUCAACAACAUUAGCCAUGACCCUCUUUUGGCAGACUGAUUUGACUUCCUUUUAUCUACUGGACUAGCAUCACGGAAAUAAUAACUGGUUCUCCUAUUUCUAGUAGAUCUUAAUCCAACUGUCAUCCUUGAGCUUGAUCCCCAUUCUUCACCAGGAAGUUGACAUUUGUUAAUGGAACCAUUAUGAGCAUUUCUAUAUGCAUCCUCUGAUUCAUGUUCCUGCCCCAACAUGAUACUACGGUUCAUCAGAUCAUCUGUUGCCUCUGAGCCCAAAAUAUGCUUUCUACAAGCUCCUUCAGCAGUAUCUUCACCUCUGGAAUACUGUUCAUCUGUACUAGCAUGUGAAAUGCUUUCUCUCAUGCCACUAUCACCUUCAGAGUUAGCUCUAUCUCUACCUAACUUUGACCUUCUAUAAACAACAUUAUACAUCUUUUUUGAAUGUGAAUGGGAA
This 610-nucleotide unclassified non-coding RNA is filed under the name Hevea brasiliensis (rubber tree). The record is from RNAcentral. Lineage: Eukaryota; Viridiplantae; Streptophyta; Magnoliopsida; Malpighiales; Euphorbiaceae.